GGACUGAGACACGGCCCAGACUCCUACGGGAGGCAGCAGUUGGGAAUAUUGGACAAUGGAGGAAACUCUGAUCCAGCGACGCCGCGUGAAGGAAGAAGGUCUUCGGAUUGUAAACUUAUUUUAUCAGGGAAGAAAAUGACUGUACCUGAAGAAGAAGGACCGGCAAACUACGUGCCAGCAGCCGCGGUAAUACGUAGGGUCCGAGCGUUAUCCGGAUUUACUGGGUAUAAAGGGCGAGUAGACGGUUUAGCAAGUCAGAUGUGAAAACUUGGAGCUCAACUCCAAGCCUGCAUCUGAAACUGUUAGACUAGAGUGCAGGAGAGGUAAGCGGAAUUCCUAGUGUAGCGGUGAAAUGCGUAGAUAUUAGGAGGAACACCAGUGGCGAAGGCGGCUUACUGGACUGUAACUGACGUUGAGGAGCGAAAGUGUGGGGAGCAAACAGGAUUAGAUACCCUGGUAGUCCACACUGUAAACGAUGGAUACUAGGUGUAGGCAUGCAAAUGUCUGUGCCGGCGCAAAUGCAAUAAGUAUCCCACCUGGGGAGUACGGCCGCAAGGUUGAAACUCAAAGGAAUUGACGGGGGCCCGCACAAGCAGUGGAGUAUGUGGUUUAAUUCGACGCAACGCGAAGAACCUUACCAAGACUUGACAUAUACAGGAAUAUCUGGGAAAUCAGAUAGUUCUUCGGAACUUGUAUACAGGUGAUGCAUGGUUGUCGUCAGCUCGUGUCGUGAGAUGUUGGGUUAAGUCCCGCAACGAGCGCAACCCUCGUGAUUAGUUGCUGCCAAGAGAACUCUAAUCAGACUGCCGUAGUUAAUACGGAGGAAGGUGAGGAUGACGUCAAAUCAUCACGUCCCUUAUGUCUUGGGCUACACACGUACUACAAUGGCUACUACAAAGAGAAGCAAUACCGUAAGGUGGAGCAAAACUGCAAAAAGUAGCCCUAGUUCGGAUUGGGGGCUGCAACCCGCCCCCAUGAAGCUGGAAUUGCUAGUAAUCAUAGGUCAGCAUACUAUGGUGAAUACGUUCCCGGGCCUUGUACACACCGCCCGUCAAACCAUGAGAAUUGAAAAUACCCGAAGCCCAUGUUAAAGUGGUCCACGGUAGGUUCAGUGAUUGGGGUUAAGUCGUAACAAGGUAGCCGUAUCGGAAGGUGCGGCUG
Molecule: ribosomal RNA, 1161 nt
Filed under: human gut metagenome
Description: bacterial SSU rRNA
Rfam family: Bacterial small subunit ribosomal RNA
Source: RNAcentral